GUUGGCCCGGGUGACUUUUAAAAUGUAGAUAUCAUUGAAAAAGCUCCAAAUUAUCUCCCUUUGGUGCAAACAUGCCAUUUUUGGCAUUAAAAUUGAAAUAUCUUUUUUAACUCAUCAGUGACCUAUAUUUUUUAUUGUUGUUUUCGAAUAAGCUGUACAUAAACUAAAUAAUUGUAAAAUUUAAGCGAUUUCUGUAAUGAAGUUCUUCUUUUAUUUAUAUAUUACUGCUAUUUCUCCUAUUAUUUCAACAGAAAAAAAGGACAUUAACAAAAAUGUAUGCUUCUUUCGAAGGCAGAUUGUGAGCGUAAAUGAACGUUGACCCCAUUUUUUUUAUUUCAUUUUUCUAUAAGUAUAAGAUAAAGUUCGUUUAUAGAAAAAUAUAGCGAAAUCCUAUAUUAAAUUAAAAAAAU
This 410-nucleotide long non-coding RNA is filed under the name Mytilus galloprovincialis (Mediterranean mussel). Lineage: Eukaryota; Metazoa; Mollusca; Bivalvia; Mytilida; Mytilidae. The record is from RNAcentral.